AGAAGAAAUUAUAAUACUAUCAACAUCAUUGACAUUUCGACUGUCAUAUGAAAACUGUUUUUGCUAAAAUAAAAUGUACUACGAUGUUUUUUUGAUUAUUAUUUCAAGUGUAAGUGAAGGUCCGAGAGUCAAAAGUUAAGAUGUGGAUGUGGAAUGCGAGGCAAAGUGGCAGCCGGUCUUCCCAGAUCAGCCACGGGAGCCACAGCCGGACCAGCUAUGGCAGCCACACGGCCAGCCAUCUCAGCAUCGGCAGCAUCACUAGCAGGACACGUGGCAGUCAGCACAGGGACAUAGAGUUCCAAUUUUUUAUACGACAGACUGAGGCCCUGUAUCCUCCUUGGUGGACUCGCGAAGCCAUUAUCGACUGGUAUCGAGACCUGCCUGAUGACACCAUGUGGAACUGCUACAUCUGCGGCUGCGUCCUCCUAGGCGUGAUCUGCGCCGUCUCGGAAUUCAACAAUCUCUACAUAGACAUUAUUGACGUGAUCUACAACAUCUCGUACGCCAUACAUGUGUUCGCUAUCGGCUAUAGAAUGGUCAGUGAACUGGAGAACACUGACAUCACCUUUUGUUGUCCGUAAGUACAGACAGAUUCAUACAAUGACCUACACUUUUGUCUUCGGCCGGCAAUACACGGACCGCUUGAAGCAGUCAGGGGCGACAUCUUCAAGCUGUCGACUAAACAGUGAAGAGUUCUACUGAAGCACAUACAUGAACCGCUCGAGCAGUUGCAACUGAUUCGGGCGGACGGCUUCAAGCGGUCCGUGUGUUGCCUUAUACGUCACGAUGAAUACAGUAAAAAAAAGGUCGGCUGCCUGUAAAGUCCGUGUCCGAACGAAGUUUUUACGUGAUAAUAAUGUCUUUUUCAUUAUGGGCUUUUCGUGAAUAACUCCCGUUUCGAAAUAUACUACGUUAUUACGUCAAAACAUCGUGGAAGUGAAAGUCGAAGAAGAGAAGUGGGUAAAUCAGAAGGAGUGACAGGAUCCUGCUGACUAUGAAGGCAUAUAUUCUGGCUGGAGCCCUUCGUGUUCAAUAUCCACGGUAACCCUGCCAAUAUUCCGAGAGCCCUAUCUUUACAGAAAUUACCACUUUCAUGAAAUAUUUUCGUUGAAUCCGAAACGAUGAUUUUCAUAAUUGUUUUACUUAAGUAGUUAAUUUUCUUUAAUUGUUGCUAGUCGGAUAUCUGGUCGACCUGGGAUCGUUUGCUCACUAUGUCAAAGAUUAUAGUCCUAUAUUCAAAUUGACAUGUUACUACGAUGACUGCAUCGACCUUUUAAGUAUUUAUGGUCGUUAACCGACUACAACCUAAAAGGCAGUAUACUGGGAACUACUCUAAAGUAUUGCUACAUUCCCUGGUGAUACGAAUCACUUGGGCUUAUGCAUGGCUUUAUAUUGACAAGGAAGGCAACCUCUAUAAAAAUGUUACAAGUAUCAAUCCUGAGCCACCUAAGCCGCUCGAUCUAGAUCAAGAAAAUGUAACAGUUCUGAACAAGACUACCACCACUCCUGCCGGUCUGUUCCUCAGUGCCUACUAUCUCAUCAACAAGAUGUUUAUACCUAUUGGACCCUCGAGUAUCCGGACUCGGAUGUAGAACGCCUCGUGUGUCUAUGCAUCAUGCUGUCAGGGUGCCUGGUGGUGACUGGCUCCGCGGUGGCAUCGUUGUCGCUGGUCGUGAGCCUCUACAUGCGCCCUGAGGAGACCUUCCUCUCAAGAUAUCGACUCAUCAUGAAGGAGAUGAAAGACACAGCUGUGCCCACUUCUCUUCGCGACAAGGUGGAGGCGUUCUACAAGAUGUACUGGCACAAGCAACGAGCUGUGUCGGAGACGCAACUGCAUCUUCCCUCCAACCUUGCCGGCUACCAUCAACACUGACAUAUACUUUGAGGCCACGCAAAAAGCUCGAAUCCUUCGUGAGCUAUCGUACCAGAUAUUGGAAGAGCUGGCUCGGAAGAUGGAGACAGUUCACUACAUUCCAGGAGAUGCCAUCAUCAAGCGAGGAUCUAAGAAGUGCCAAAUUAUUUACAUUACCUACGAGAUAUUGAAGUGAAUGCUGACAGCAGAGGACGAUAACACACCCAUCCUUCGAAUGACCCGAGGCACGGUGCUGACUCCAUAUGGUUGCGCGGUAGCCGCGGCGCUCAGCCGCUCGCACUUGGCCGUGCGGGCAGCUACCUUCUGCACGGCUCAUGUCCUGAAGGCCAGGGAACUGUGGCGGGUCGUCACUAAGCACUCGGCAUCGCAGGACCAUGCGGGACCCAUAUUAGCUUCCUUCACUGAUCACAUUGAAAAAGUCAAAAGGCACUAUCAAAUGAAAGUUCCAGAUGAUGCCAUUCACAAGAGCAGUAUCCUGAACUUCAAUCGCAACCUUAUCAUGCUAAAGGAAAUGAAUGAGGAAGGAGCCUCGGUGCUGUCCAGCUCCGACGUGUUCUUAGAGAUCGCUGGAUGCUAUAUCAUGAGGAAUCGUUCAGCCUCUGCUCUAACGGACCAGUCGGAUCAGAUAUGCCUCCGUCCGGUGUUCCCUUGCAUCCUGCAGCCGACAUCCUCGCUCCUGGUCGGGUGGCAUGCUUUCGUGGCUUUGCUCAUCUUGAUAGUUUGUAUUACGCAUCCCUACUUCCUAGUGUUCCACAGCCAGCUGCCCCAACUGUUCAGGUUCUUCGAUUAUUGUGUGACUUCUAUAUAUACUCUGGACCUCAUCGUACAUUUGUCCACGGGAGCUAACGUUGAGGAGGGUGUUCCGAUCACAUUCGCGCAGACGUCGUCCCAGCAGAUGCGCAGUCACUGGUUCGUGCUGGACGUGGUGGCCACGCUUCCAGUCUUCGAGUUCAUUGGCAACGGACAGUUCGCUGGCAUGAACAAGAUUCUCCGGCUGCCCAAGCUGUUUCGUGUGUUAAAGAGCCACGAAAGCUGUGGUUACCGUAGCCACGUGCUCCGGUUCCUGUCGUACACCCUGCUGCUGCUCAUCGCGUGCUACCUCAUCGCCACCAUGCAGCAAGCCUUCAUGUGCUUCCAGUCUGGUCACUGCUUGGUGACGAACUUCACGCACAGACCGCAUUGGGAGAACAAACCACUGGACGACGAGACGGUGCAUUCGAGGCUUAUCUUCGGCCUGUACUGGGCCAUUUCCAUGAUCAUCUUCUCAAUUCAUCGAGAAACUUGGGGUAAAGAAAACUGGAAGAACGUUCUUUACACGAUGGUCAUCCUGGACAUCUGCAUCGUACUGCGUAUCUUCAUGGAGGCGGUCUACUCUGCCACUAUCAUGGUCACUACUGAUUUAAGAGAGAAUUAUGGUUCCCGUAUCGCUAUGGUGAAGAGUUUUCUGAUUAGGAACGAGAUGGACCCUCUCUUGAGGAAGAGGUUCAUCACAUACCUUCAACUCUGCUGGCAUACAGAUCAGUUCUUGAACAAAGAAGACAUGAGAUUCGUAUCAUCCGUCGCUAAACUGUUCUACACGUCUCCUAAUGAAAUACUACUGAAUACAGGAGAGCUCACUAAUGAAAUAUAUAUCAUCAAAAAGGGCAUCUGUGAGAUUGUUGAUCCGGUCUCUAAGCAACGCAUUGGCACGUUGACUACAAAGAACCAUUUUGCUGCACUCAUCUGUCUCUUACGCAUACCGGCAUACUAUACAGUGCGUGCUAUCACCCACGUGCAGGUGUUUUCCUGCCCGCAAGUAUCUGGAUAAGGUAUUUGAGCACCCACAAAUAAAGGAGGCCAUUGACUUCGUGAAGAAACGCCCGGAGUAUCAGCGCGUGCAGAAGAAGUUGCCUGCCUUCAUGAAGUACGUGCCACCCCCGAUCCAAGAAUGUGAUGCAUUUCAAGCUGCCGAGGAAACACAGGCCCGACUACGAAUUCCUCCACCCUUUCGAUAGGCUUGGAUUCUUAUCGAUUUUGCGUUACGUAUUUCCGCGGUACACGAUCCGGCCUGAUGGCAAAUACCUGCUCCGGUACGAGUGGUUCCGCAUGAUAUGCGCACUGCUGUCUGCUCAGCUGUUCCCUCACUACACGUACCUGGUGCUGCAGUGGCCGUUCCUCUAUCACGUCUCCUGGUUCCUCGACCUGUCGGCUUAUUACGAUAUUUGCCAAAGGAUGAUGAUUGGCUACUUCAACACCGAUGGGAUCCUGGUGUACCAUCCAGCCAGCACCGCCGCCUAUUAUUUAAAGGGUGCCUUCUUAGCUGAUUUAUUGGCGUGCUUACCUCUUGAAAAUCUGGAGUCAACACGGAAGACAGUUCUGCACCUGUUCCGCCUGACUCCAACGAAGCAGUUUCUGAUGCUGAACCGUCUCAUCCAGUUGUAUCGGAUGCCGAGCGCCAUGAUGGUGCUCAAGGGUACAUUGAGAGACGGAUAUACUCAUGCAUUCAAGCGAUCCCCUUAUUUAUGGCGAUGCUUAAUACGUUGACCUGCCUCAUGGUAUUCUACUCCGUGAAGAUAUCCUACUCCAGGGAUUUCAGCGGCUACGAAUGGAUUAUAGAACCCUUCGACGAUAAAGGAGGAUCAUGGGUGUACUUGUUCAAGGAUAAAUUUCGGUUCAACUUUACGGAAACACCAUGGAACCUACACCUCGCCACUUAUUUCUGGGUUGUCUACGAGUGCAGCACCACCGGCUAUGGGAUAUUCAAUCCCACCAACCAUGAAAUUAUGAAACUUCUUUUCGUUGGCAUCGCUUGCAGUGCAAUGAUAGUCACAUACUACUCGGUCCGUAUCAUCAGUAUUCGGGCGAAUGUCAACAAAUCUCUGGCUGGUUUCCAACAACACAUGAAGGAUAUCAACGUCUACAUGGCUAGAGAGUUGGAUUCGGAACUGCAAAGUAUGAUAACCUUACAUAUGUCCAUUGCUAGCGAACGCCGAUGUCUCCCUACUGCGCAUCAUUGGUCGCGUGCAGCGAUGUACUUCCUACGUGACAUGAAGAUCCUGGAAGUAGACGAUAUGGCUACUGACAUGUACUUCGUGGACUAUGGAGGUGAAGUCAGGGUCAACGUUGGAGAUAACUACCAUGUUAUUAGACUGCCGAGGGGCAGUGUAUUUGGCAACUUAGAAGGCACCAAGGCACAAAGAAGUCCUUACAACGUGAUAGCCACUGGUCGGCUGCAUCUGCUGAUGAUCAAGUCAGACAUAUUCUCCAGCAUCACGAAGGACUUCCCAGCUAUUAGACAGCUCAUGGAGAGCUCAAAUAUGUAUAUCUUGGGAGGCGAGGCCAAAGUGAGGGUUCGUCACACGUUACCUUCCACCAUGCCUCAUCGGAGCCAGACCAGCGUCCUGAAAUAUAUCUACUUCCAGGAAGGUUAUGUGCAGAUCUAUCUCAUAGCCAUCUGCAUGGGCUGCAUAUAUCUGGACAUGUAUAACGCGGGAUAUCAGGACAAUAGCAGGUGGAUGCUCACUACACUGUAUUCCUUGGACUUCGCCUUCUUUCUGAAGAUAUUUACCCAGCACUCCUGCCAUUCCUAGUGCCAAACAGAAAUAUUAAGAAAAUGAUGUUGCCUAUUAGAAAGAUGUAUUUUAAGGGCGAGUUCAGAUACGACUUUAUAUCCAUAAUUCCUUUCGAGCUGCUCAGCUUUGCCUUCGUCCAGCAUCGGUGGUUCCUGUUCCCAUGGCUGCGUCUCAAUCGGACCUUCAGAAUCGCGACGGUACACAAGUGUCUGCGCAAGCGGAACGAGAGCAUCACCGUCAACCUGACGUUCACCACCAUCAUGGCUGUUCUGAUCUGGUUCACUCUGUUCGUGCACGCUGUCUCCUGUGUCUGGUACUUCAUUGGCUCCGUAGAGGACUCUAUCAAACCCUUUUCUUCGUGGAGAUACUUGGAUGAUGGUUCAAGCCAAUGCGACAACAGUUACAUCUGCUCGGUGUACUUCGUGAUCACGACGUUCACUCAAAAUGGCGUCGGAGACAUCAUGCCGAAGAAACAGUCCGAGGUGCUGUUCGUGGCGAUCCUCCAGAUAAUAUCGACAAUGGUGUUCAUGGUGUACGUGGGGGAGUUCUCCAACAUCAUCCAGUAUACCUCCUACCGCUCCUUCAGCUUCUACAGCAAGUACCUCGAGUUGCAGGAGUUCAUGAAGAACAACCGAGUGUCCCAGCACCUAGUGAAUAUCGUCAACAAGUAUACGUUACAUUUGUGGAGGGAGAACCGUGGAUUCCAAGAGCCUCACUUCUUGGUGCAUGCGCCACUGUCUCUGAGACUGCGGGUCAUGUCUGCAGCUUACUAUCAUCAUAUCACCAGGCACCAUAUAUUUGAAGAAUGCGACGCUGGUUUCCUGAGGCAACUGGUCGGAUGUUUAAGGAUAUAUACUUAUAACGAAGGCAUGUACGUGGUGAAAGAGAGCGAUAUCACGGAUGCCAUGUACGUGAUCCACACGGGCAAGGUGAAGGAGACCUGCGAGGAGAUGGACAUCAGCGCUAGGGUCCCCUGCCGGCUCCUACUUCGGAAUUAUCCAGGGCUUAUUACGCAAUACUCCAUACACUCAUUCGUACCAGACUGUCAUCAAGUCGUGUGUGCUCACGCUGCAGCUGGACGACUGGGAGUACUUGCUGAAGCACUUCCCAGAUAGCAGAGACGCCAUACACAAACACAUGAGACAGUUAGGAGAUGAUGACACUGACAAGAGUAAUUGGCCUGGCGGCGCUCCAGUUGAAUGGACGGCCCCAGAAUAUGUGCCCCUAGCGGACAUUCCCGAAGAAGCUCCCCUUGCACCGGGAAUGUUUCCUGGAAUUAAGCGACAUUUCGGAAGAGACUCAGAUACACCUGAAGAACAGCCCCCUAUCAGGCCCUCUUUGACAGGUAGAAAAUCAUCUUUGCAUUUCCCUUGGCAUAUACGACACGGGGAACACGCAGACAGCAAACGAGAAGAAGAAUCUCUGGAAGUAGAAGAACAUCGUAAAUUAGGAUUCUUCGAAAAAAUUAUUGGAACCGCAAAAAAAUUAAUGGGUAGAGUUUCUGAUUCUGACUUGCUUGCAAUGACUGGGGAAGGCAGAGAUGAACUUCAAUUGGAAGAAGACGAGGAGGCGACUGAAGCACUACUUGCGCAGUUUGAAGCAGCUAAAAAACUGACUGAAAAAGAUAAGAAAAAAAUAAUAACUCGUAGGAAGAGUAUGUUUUACGGGGACGAUCAAACCAUGGAAAAACAACUAGUGACACUAGAUAUCGCACCAUCGAUGACGGACGAACUUAGCAAGGAAGAGUCUCAAGCGUUUACCAUGCGACCGCUGAGAAUCCGAGAUUCAGACACCGAAUUACCUACCCCCUCUAAAUCCCAGUCAGUUGCGGCACCGGAAGUUAUUCUUAAUCUGGGAAGGUCAAAAUCAAAUAUUACCAGAAGCGCCAGUGCGCAAAUUGAAAGAAGAUACAGAACCUGAAGAGCCCUCCAAAAAAGGAUCUGAAUUAUAUCAACUAAAACUUAGUGAUUCUACAACUGCUGAAGCAACUGCAAAUCAAUUACAAAGGCCUGAAGACAUUCAGGGGUCUUCAAAAAUUCCAGCUGCGGUCGAUAUGUCAAAGGCUAGCCUUGCUAGUACGGCUACUGCAAAGAACAUGUUUUAAAAUAACUUCCUUAGAACCUCAAGAUUCUAAACCUUCGACGAUCCCAGAAUCCUCCGAAAUUCAAAUUGCGAAUAUAAACAUUAUGAAGACGCCAUCCGGCGACACGGCAGCAACGAAUGAAGAGACACUAGAAGGCCAAACUACUUUAGGAGAUCUGGAUUCCAAACCUCUUGAAGACAAAGAAACAAAACCUGGCGAUGAAAAUGCGAUCUCACAAGAGUUAAGUCUCUUGUAUCCCGAACUAUUACCUACUAAGCCUGCUGAAACUGAAGAACUUCCAGAUACUACUGGAGAUAUCCCAAGCACUUCUGCACCAGAACAUCACCCGUCGAUGACGCGUCUUAGCACACGCCACCACACUAUGCCUGAUAUUUUUGGUUCAAAGCCUUUUGAACUUCCAGAAACAACAUGGGUCUGGUGAGGAAGACUUAGCUGUCAAUUAUAUUCUGCCUCCUGAAGAAACUACAAGUGUCCAAGCUAUACACGACGAUAAGCAGACUGCUCAAGGAACUUCAGGUGCUCCAACUGUAACUUCAGGUGCUCCAACUGUAACUUCAGGUGCUCCAACUGUAACUUCAGGUGCUCCUACUGUAACUUCAGGUGCUCCAACUGUAACUUCAGGUGCUCAACUGUAACUUCAGGUGCUCCAACUGUAACUUCAGGUGCUCCAACUGUAACUUUACUCCAACUGUAAAGGAAACUCUUCCUGCCUCGGAAUCAAUGGGAGUCCAAGUCAAAGAAAAAGAACCUGUUCACGAAACUAAGAGUACUCAAGCAGCCAUGAAAAUUAAAGAAGGUCCUGAUCCGGAAAAGUAACUACACAAGCUGGCCCAAGUACUAAAGCAUUAUAUACAAAGAAACACAAGCUUCAUCUUCGAAGCCACCUCCUCCGUCAGCGUCAUCAGAAAAGAUUAUUUCAUAUUUAUCUAAUGAAAGUGUUUCCACUAUAGAUCUAGAUGUCGAACCGUCGCAAUAUAUCGCAGCGCGUCCCGAUGAUGAAAAGUCGCGUGCAUUCGCUGAAGAAGCAGCCCGAAAGCGGUCGUUCAGUAGAAAGCCCAUAGUCUUUGACCCGAACCGUAAGUCGGACUCGGAGAACGAAAAUGAUAAAAACGAAACAAAAGAAGAAACAACGUUACAUACGCUCAAACAGCCUCCCUCAUCGGUGUCCGAUGUAAAGUUGAUGCAAUUUAUGUCUGAGACCGAGGAUCCUGUAAUAACCAGUAGAGAAACUGUGGUGAUGAAACCCAAGACUCCCUCAUCACAUGAUAUCAAACAGGAAGAAACGCCCACGUCGACGACAAAGUUGAACCGACGCUUCGUCCACGUGCGAUAUGAUGAGAAGAAGGAUAAGAAUAAACCCGUCGCAGAAGAAGAUUAUUUAGUUGAACAGGAUGCUGAAGAAGAAGGUGUGAAUAUUGUCACGUUGGAUAGUGACGAGCCGCAGGCCCAGGAAGUCGUGGAAGAGGAGGAGCCAGAGGCAGAGAGAGGCCUCCGAGACCUCUCGAAAUUUAAAUAACCCUUACUAUAGAAGACGAUCUGACUAGUAUAAUUUAGCUGAAGUUACUUCAAAUCGCUUUGCUAUUCGAUUUGUUCAAACCCAGCAGAUGUUAACUUGUCAAAACAGUUAUUGGUUUUCUAAUUGAUUUAAUUUUAAUAUUGUUACUGACUGGACCUGUUUAUUUAUAGAAACUUAUUUUUAGUAGUAUAGAUGUUUUGAAAGAUAGUUUUGUCGUAAUUAUAUUAAAUGGAGUUGUGGUAUUCACAAAAACUAAAGCAAUUAUUAUUUUACUUACUCUUCUUUAAAGACACCACGACUUAUUGUUAGUUUAUUUUAAUUAAAAUGUAUUUCGUACCUGUUUGAAUAAUAAAUGCUCUAAAAAUA
RNA transcript from Helicoverpa armigera (cotton bollworm), 9410 nucleotides. RefSeq lists it as uncharacterized. The transcript is spliced from 39 exons. The record is from RefSeq and is a predicted model, not a curated record. Lineage: Eukaryota; Metazoa; Arthropoda; Insecta; Lepidoptera; Noctuidae.